RNAcentral lists this transfer RNA (826 nucleotides) under Bradyrhizobium elkanii. RNAcentral describes it as "partial contains 16S-23S ribosomal RNA intergenic spacer, and 23S ribosomal RNA". The stretch from base 196 to 269 matches the Rfam family "tRNA". Lineage: Bacteria; Pseudomonadati; Pseudomonadota; Alphaproteobacteria; Hyphomicrobiales; Nitrobacteraceae. The record is from RNAcentral.
AGAUCAGCUCACGCUAUCUAUCGGAUCGUUUUAGAAACAUUCAGGGGCCAACAGUUUCAGGAUUGUUGAGCUCCAUUGGCGGGAUUUCGCCGUCUUCGUUUCUCUUUCUUCGCGGACGAACACGCGCCAGGGGCUGAGCGCUGUGCGGUGCACCGACUAAGCGACGCGAGCGCGCCGGCAUGUCUCUCGUGUUAGGGGCUUGUAGCUCAGUAGGUUAGAGCGCGCGCUUGAUAAGCGUGAGGUCGGAAGAUCAAGACUUCCCAGGCCCACCAUAUUGAUCGAGAGCGGAGCAUUCGUCUUCUGGUACGGGGCCAUAGCUCAGCUGGGAGAGCGCGUGCUUUGCAAGCAUGAGGUCGUCGGUUCGAUCCCGUCUGGCUCCACCAGAUGGUUUGAUCACCAACGGCGUUACCGUCGUCCGCGAAACAUCACUUCGCACUCAUUGGUCCGGAUGGACGGUGACGUGCGUGUUUUCUGACAUCGUAAAGAGGAGAUCGAUCCGAGUUUGGAUCAAGCGAAGCAAUUCGUCUGAACCAUUCAUUAUCUCCGGGAUCAUUUCGGCGCUCGCGCAUCGCAGUUCAUCGCAAGAUGAGUGGGGUGAGCGGGUUGUAAAUGAUCUCUUUUAGCGAAGCUUGACCGCCUCGCUAUCGGGCCGAUCUUACGAAGCAAGCUGGUCUUUCUAGUCAAUGUCCGGCUGCGCAAUCGCAUUCAUCGAGGAUGCGUGCCUGGGACUUCGGUCUUCGGGCAGUUGCGCAGACAACAUUCUGCCGAGUGUGUGGACAUUGAUAAUGAGAGCAAUCAAGUGCCUUAAGGGUGUUCGGUGGAUGCC